Cuculus canorus (common cuckoo) is the source of this 166-nucleotide non-coding RNA. RefSeq annotates it as small Cajal body-specific RNA 1. The record is from RefSeq and is a predicted model, not a curated record. The transcript has a single exon. NCBI's taxonomy places the organism in Eukaryota, Metazoa, Chordata, Aves, Cuculiformes, Cuculidae.
GAGCACUUGAUACUAACCGAGCCAUCCGUGCCUCGGGCCCUGCGCAGAGGUCCGGGGUGCACCUUGUGAUUGCUGGGUCUGAAAAGUGCGACAGUAACACAAGCCAUGAGAUGUAUAAGCUCAGUGUAUGAAGGAAAACACUGGGUUAUAACUCAGAGGCACAGAA